RNAcentral lists this non-coding RNA (22 nucleotides) under Arabidopsis thaliana (thale cress). Lineage: Eukaryota; Viridiplantae; Streptophyta; Magnoliopsida; Brassicales; Brassicaceae. The record is from RNAcentral.
UUAAUUAGUUAUGCCAAUGGAU